CGUAGGGUGCGAGCGUUAAUCGGAAUUACUGGGCGUAAAGCGUGCGCAGGCGGUUUUGUAAGCCAGAUGUGAAAUCCCCGGGCUCAACCUGGGAAUGGCAUUUGGGACUGCAAGGCUGGAGUGUGGCAGAGGAGACUGGAAUUCCUGGUGUAGCAGUGAAAUGCGUAGAUAUCAGGAGGAAUACCGAUGGCGAAGGCAGGUCUCUGGGCUAACACUGACGCUCAUGCACGAAAGCGUGGGGAGCAAACAGGAUUAGAUACCCUGGUAGUCCACACCCUAAACGAUGUCGACUGGUUGUUGGGGGUUUGACACUCUCAGUAACGAAGCUAACGCGUGAAGUCGACCGCCUGGGGAGUACGGCCGCAAGGUUA
This 371-nucleotide ribosomal RNA is filed under the name uncultured organism. RNAcentral's name for it is "bacterial SSU rRNA". It matches the Rfam family "Bacterial small subunit ribosomal RNA", at positions 526 to 896 of the family's 1533-position model. The record is from RNAcentral.